This is a non-coding RNA of Meleagris gallopavo (turkey), 647 nucleotides long. The record is from RefSeq and is a predicted model, not a curated record. NCBI's taxonomy places the organism in Eukaryota, Metazoa, Chordata, Aves, Galliformes, Phasianidae.
CAGCCCCAGCAGGGCGUGGGGCUGUGCUACCGCCGUGUGUUCUCCGUUUAUCAGCUACUUUUCUUCACCUCGCCCCGCUGUCGGGGCCGGGACGUGCGCGGGGCCGCUCAGAGGCGCCCAAGGGCAGCUGCGAGGACAGAGGGGCAGGGCCGGGCCGCGGUGCUCGUGUUGCCAUGGCAACGGAGGCGCCGGCUGAAGUGCGCGUGCUCAGCGCUCGCCGCCAUCUUGGCAGCCGUUGCUGCUGGACGGUGUAACGCCCCAAAGCUGCCCGCCUUCCUUAGGAAUGGUACUGAUGCGCGCCCAGUUUUGAUGACCUAGAAACCACACGACUGUGGCAACAAAACUUAAAAAGUGUGCUUUUGUUUGGUGGAAGGUUGGAUGUUUAAAUGGCCUCAGAAGGGCAAAGUGAGGAUGCUGAGCGUCUAUCUGAGCUUCCCACAGCUCCUAUUGGGAGUAACAGCACAUUUCGAUGGGGAGAUAUACUUGCUGCAGUGAAAGAUCAGCUCCCAUCUCUGGACUCUGACACUUCUACAUCUGACUGUGAGAGUGAUGGGGAGCUUUUCAUCUUCCAGCGAGAGCAACCCAACUUAAUUCCUGACCUGUCAGAGGAGCUACUGGAAUUUUCCCUGGAAGACUCAAACAUGUAG